UCCAGACUCCUACGGGAGGCAGCAGUGGGGGAUAUUGCACAAUGGGGGGAACCCUGAUGCAGCGACGCCGCGUGGGUGAAGGAGCGUUUCGGCGCGUAAAGCCCUAUCGGCAGGGAAGAAGGAGGACGGUACCUGACUAAGAAGCCCCGGCUAACUACGUGCCAGCAGCCGCGGUAAUACGUAGGGGGCAAGCGUUAUCCGGAUUUACUGGGUGUAAAGGGGGCGCAGACGGCAGCGCAAGCCAGGAGUGAAAGCCCGGGGCCCAACCCCGGGACUGCUCUUGGAACUGCGCGGCUGGAGUGCAGGAGGGGCAGGCGGAAUUCCUGGUGUAGCGGUGAAAUGCGUAGAUAUCAGGAGGAACACCGGCGGCGAAGGCGGCCUGCUGGACUGAAACUGACGUUGAGGCCCGAAAGCGUGGGGAGCAAACAGGAUUAGAUACCCGUGUA
Molecule: ribosomal RNA, 446 nt
Filed under: uncultured bacterium
Lineage: Bacteria
Description: bacterial SSU rRNA
Rfam family: Bacterial small subunit ribosomal RNA
Source: RNAcentral